Molecule: ribosomal RNA, 301 nt
Filed under: uncultured bacterium
Lineage: Bacteria
Description: partial 16S ribosomal RNA
Rfam family: Bacterial small subunit ribosomal RNA
Source: RNAcentral
CAGUCGCCGCGGGAAUACAGAGGGUGCGAGCGUUAAUCGGAUUUACUGGGCGUAAAGCGUGCGUAGGCGGCUUUUCAAGUCGGAUGUGAAAUCCCUGAGCUUAACUUAGGAAUUGCAUUCGAUACUGGGAAGCUAGAGUAUGGGAGAGGAUGGUAGAAUUCCAGGUGUAGCGGUGAAAUGCGUAGAGAUCUGGAGGAAUACCGAUGGCGAAGGCAGCCAUCUGGCCUAAUACUGACGCUGAGGUACGAAAGCAUGGGGAGCAAACAGGAUUAGAUACCCCAGUAGUCCCUGUCUCUUAUAC